This 71-nucleotide transfer RNA is filed under the name Loxodonta africana (African savanna elephant). It matches the Rfam family "tRNA". From Rfam's summary of the family: Transfer RNA (tRNA) molecules are approximately 80 nucleotides in length. Their secondary structure includes four short double-helical elements and three loops (D, anti-codon, and T loops). Further hydrogen bonds mediate the characteristic L-shaped molecular structure. tRNAs have two regions of fundamental functional importance: the anti-codon, which is responsible for specific mRNA codon recognition, and the 3' end, to which the tRNAs corresponding amino acid is attached (by aminoacyl-tRNA synthetases). tRNAs cope with the degeneracy of the genetic code in two manners: having more than one tRNA (with a specific anti-codon) for a particular amino acid; and 'wobble' base-pairing, i.e. permitting non-standard base-pairing at the 3rd anti-codon position. Lineage: Eukaryota; Metazoa; Chordata; Mammalia; Proboscidea; Elephantidae. The record is from Rfam by way of RNAcentral.
GCAGUGGUGGUUCACUGGUAGAAUUCUCGCCUUUCAGGCAGAAGACCUGGGCUUGGCUCCCAGCCAAUGUA